GAAAUGCGAUAAGUAAUGUGAAUUGCAGAAUUCAGUGAAUCAUCGAAUCUUUGAACGCACAUUGCGCCCGCCAGUAUUCUGGCGGGCAUGCCUGUCCGAGCGUCAUUUCAACCCUCAGGGCCCGUCCGCGGGACCUGGUGUUGGGGAUCGGCCCGCCUACUGCGGCGGCCGGCCCCGAAAUAUAGUGGCGGUCUCGUCGCGACCUCCCCUGCGUAGUAGCGAUACCUCGCAGCCGGAUGGCGACGCGGCCACGCCGUAAAACCCCCUACUUCUCAAGGUUGACCUCGGAUCAGGUAGGAAUACCCGCUGAACUUAA
RNAcentral lists this unclassified non-coding RNA (316 nucleotides) under uncultured Ascomycota. RNAcentral describes it as "sequence contains ITS1". The stretch from base 1 to 105 matches the Rfam family "5.8S ribosomal RNA", at positions 50 to 154 of the family's 154-position model. Lineage: Eukaryota; Fungi; Ascomycota. The record is from RNAcentral.